RNAcentral lists this ribosomal RNA (269 nucleotides) under Spirochaetota bacterium. Its description in RNAcentral is "partial 16S ribosomal RNA". It matches the Rfam family "Bacterial small subunit ribosomal RNA", at positions 1 to 253 of the family's 1533-position model. Lineage: Bacteria; Pseudomonadati; Spirochaetota. The record is from RNAcentral.
AUAAUGGAGAGUUUGAUUCUGGCUCAGAACGAACGCUGGCGGCGCGUCUUAAACAUGCAAGUCGCACGGGAUCCCUGAUGCUUGCAUUAGGGUGAGAGUGGCGAACGGGUGAGUAACACGUGGAUAAUCUACCCUCAGGUUGGGGAUAACUCCGGGAAACUGGAGCUAAUACCGAAUAAGAUGGUAGGAACGCAAGUUCCAGCCAUUAAAGGUGGGGACCGCAAGGCCUAUCGCCUGAGGAUGAGCCCGCGGCCCAUUAGCUAGUUGGU